UACGUAGGUGGCAAGCGUUAUCCGGAUUUAUUGGGUGUAAAGGGCGUGUAGGCGGGAGCGCAAGUCAGAUGUGAAAACUCAGGGCUCAACCCUGAGCCUGCAUUUGAAACUGUUUUUCUUGAGUACUGGAGAGGCAGACGGAAUUCCUAGUGUAGCGGUGAAAUGCGUAGAUAUUAGGAGGGACACCAGUGGCGAAGGCGGUCUGCUGGACAGCAACUGACGCUGAGGCGCGAAAGCGUGGGGAGCAAACAGG
Molecule: ribosomal RNA, 253 nt
Filed under: uncultured bacterium
Lineage: Bacteria
Description: partial 16S ribosomal RNA
Rfam family: Bacterial small subunit ribosomal RNA
Source: RNAcentral